GGCCAUCAAGGCACAUCCUUAGAUUCAUGUGUGCAUUCAAAUUGUACUUGCAUUAGGUCCAUCAAAAGAUCUACACUCAGAUUCGUUGUACAAUUGUAUUUGUCAUCGUUAAAGACUCAAGCACAGGUUGCAUUUAGAAUCACUAAGGCACAAUGCAUUUCGUCCCAGUUUAAAAAUAUGACAGACCUUCAAGGCACAUGCGUAGAUUCAUGUUUCCAUUCACAUUGUAAUAUAUUUUGGCAUAAUCAAGGCUUGAGCCAACCAUCCUCAUUCAACACAAUGAAUCAAAAACUGCAUUUAGGAUCAUAAAGGGCCGAACAUCCCAUCAGGAUUAUAAAACUGCAAUUGAAUUCAGGGUCAUCAAG
RNAcentral lists this long non-coding RNA (365 nucleotides) under Glycine max (soybean). RNAcentral's name for it is "long non-coding RNA (GMAX_LNC002977)". The record is from RNAcentral. Lineage: Eukaryota; Viridiplantae; Streptophyta; Magnoliopsida; Fabales; Fabaceae.